CCUACCUCAUAGCGGAGGAUAACUUCGGGAAACCGUAGCUAAUACCGGAUAAUAUUUUGAACCGCAUGGUUCAAAAGUGAAAGACGGUCUUGCUGUCACUUAUAGAUGGAUCCGCGCUGCAUUAGCUAGUUGGUAAGGUAACGGCUUACCAAGGCAACGAUGCCAUAGCCGACCUGAGAGGGUGAUCGGCCACACUGGAACUGAGACACGGUCCAGACUCCUACGGGAGGCAGCAGUAGGGAAUCUUCCGCAAUGGGCGAAAGCACUGACGGAGCAACGCCGCGUGAGUGAUGAAGGUCUUCGGAUCGUAAAACUCUGUUAUUAGGGAAGAACAUAUGUGUAAGUAACUGUGCACAUCUUGACGGUACCUAAUCAGAAAGCCACGGCUAACUACGUGCCAGCAGCCGCGGUAAUACGUAGGUGGCAAGCGUUAUCCGGAAUUAUUGGGCGUAAAGCGCGCGUAGGCGGUUUUUUAAGUCUGAUAUGAAAGCCCACGGCUCAACCGUGGAGGGUCAUUGGAAACUGGAAAACUUGAGUGCAGAAGAGGAAAGUGGAAUUCCAUGUGUAGCGGUGAAAUGCGCAGAGAUAUGGAGGAACACCGGUGGCGAAGGCGACUUUCUGGUCUGUAA
RNAcentral lists this ribosomal RNA (629 nucleotides) under uncultured Staphylococcus sp. RNAcentral describes it as "bacterial SSU rRNA". It matches the Rfam family "Bacterial small subunit ribosomal RNA", at positions 125 to 739 of the family's 1533-position model. The record is from RNAcentral. Lineage: Bacteria; Bacillati; Bacillota; Bacilli; Caryophanales; Staphylococcaceae.